This 520-nucleotide unclassified non-coding RNA is filed under the name uncultured Entrophospora. Its description in RNAcentral is "SSU rRNA". It matches the Rfam family "Eukaryotic small subunit ribosomal RNA", at positions 569 to 1084 of the family's 1831-position model. The record is from RNAcentral. Lineage: Eukaryota; Fungi; Glomeromycota; Glomeromycetes; Entrophosporales; Entrophosporaceae.
AGCAGCCGCGGUAAUUCCAGCUCCAAUAGCGUAUAUUAAAGUUGUUGCAGUUAAAAGCUCGUAGUUGAAUUUCGGGAUUGACACAUCGGUCGUGCCUUAAGGGGUAUGAACUGGUGUAGUCAAUUUCUCACCUUCUGGAGAACCGCGAUGCCCUUAAUUGGGUGUCGCGGGGAACCAGGACCUUUACUUUGAAAAAUUAGAGUGUUUAAAGCAGGCAUUUUGCUUGAAUACAUUAGCAUGGAAUAAUAAAAUAGGACGGCAUGAUUCUAUUUUGUUGGUUUCUAGGAUCACCGUAAUGAUUAAUAGGGAUAGUUGGGGGCAUUAGUAUUCAAUUGUCAGAGGUGAAAUUCUUGGAUUUAUUGAAGACUAACUACUGCGAAAGCAUUUGCCAAGGAUGUUUUCAUUAAUCAAGAACGAAAGUUAGGGGAUCGAAGACGAUCAGAUACCGUCGUAGUCUUAACCAUAAACUAUGACCGACUAGGAAUCAGACGAUGUUAAUUUUUAAUGUACUUCGUUUGGC